GACGAACGCUGGCGGCGUGCUUAACACAUGCAAGUCGAACGGAAAGGCCCUGCUUUUGUGGGGUGCUCGAGUGGCGAACGGGUGAGUAACACGUGAGUAACCUGCCCUUGACUUUGGGAUAACUUCAGGAAACUGGGGCUAAUACCGGAUAGGAGCUCCUGCUGCAUGGUGGGGGUUGGAAAGUUUCGGCGGUUGGGGAUGGACUCGCGGCUUAUCAGCUUGUUGGUGGGGUAGUGGCUUACCAAGGCUUUGACGGGUAGCCGGCCUGAGAGGGUGACCGGCGAGCUGGGGGUAUGGAGAAGGACCAGACGCCUACGGGCGUCAGCGGGGGGGAGUUUGGGAGACUGAGCGGAAGUUUGAUGACGCAGGGUCUCGUGGGGGAAGCCGGCGGUCGGGUUGUAAACCGCUUUCGCCGGUGAUCUACCGUGAGUGACGGUAUUGGGUAUGGAUGCACCGGCUAACUUGGUG
RNAcentral lists this ribosomal RNA (468 nucleotides) under uncultured bacterium. RNAcentral describes it as "partial 16S ribosomal RNA". It matches the Rfam family "Bacterial small subunit ribosomal RNA", at positions 28 to 507 of the family's 1533-position model. The record is from RNAcentral.